This 253-nucleotide ribosomal RNA is filed under the name uncultured bacterium. Its description in RNAcentral is "partial 16S ribosomal RNA". It matches the Rfam family "Bacterial small subunit ribosomal RNA", at positions 524 to 776 of the family's 1533-position model. The record is from RNAcentral.
UACGGAGGGUGCGAGCGUUGUCCGGAAUCAUUGGGCGUAAAGAGCGCGUAGGCGGUCCGAUAAGUCGGCUGUGAAAGUCAGGGGCUCAACCCUUGAAAGCCGGCCGAUACUGUCGGACUAGAGUCCGGAAGAGGCGAGUGGAAUUCCCGGUGUAGCGGUGAAAUGCGCAGAUAUCGGGAGGAACACCAAUGGCGAAGGCAGCUCGCUGGGACGGUACUGACGCUGAGGCGCGAAAGCCAGGGGAGCGAACGGG